Molecule: ribosomal RNA, 486 nt
Filed under: uncultured bacterium
Lineage: Bacteria
Description: partial 16S ribosomal RNA
Rfam family: Bacterial small subunit ribosomal RNA
Source: RNAcentral
AUUGAACGCUGGCGGCAUGCCUUACACAUGCAAGUCGAACGGCAGCACGGGUGCUUGCACCUGGUGGCGAGUGGCGAACGGGUGAGUAAUACAUCGGAACAUGUCCUGUAGUGGGGGAUAGCCCGGCGAAAGCCGGAUUAAUACCGCAUACGAUCUACGGAUGAAAGCGGGGGACCUUCGGGCCUCGCGCUAUAGGGUUGGCCGAUGGCUGAUUAGCUAGUUGGUGGGGUAAAGGCCUACCAAGGCGACGAUCAGUAGCUGGUCUGAGAGGACGACCAGCCACACUGGGACUGAGACACGGCCCAGACUCCUACGGGAGGCAGCAGUGGGGAAUUUUGGACAAUGGGCGAAAGCCUGAUCCAGCAAUGCCGCGUGUGUGAAGAAGGCCUUCGGGUUGUAAAGCACUUUUGUCCGGAAAGAAAUCCUUGGCCCUAAUACGGUCUGAGGAUGACGGUACCGGAAGAAUAAGCACCGGCUAACUACGUG